Molecule: ribosomal RNA, 468 nt
Filed under: uncultured bacterium
Lineage: Bacteria
Description: partial 16S ribosomal RNA
Rfam family: Bacterial small subunit ribosomal RNA
Source: RNAcentral
GACGAACGCUGGCGGCGUGCUUAACACAUGCAAGUCGAACGGACAGUCCCUGCUUUUGUGGGGUGCUCGAGUGGCGAACUGGUGAGUAACACGUGAGUUCCCUGCCCUUGACUUUGGUAUAACUUCAGGAAACUUGGGCUCAUCCCGGCUAGGAGCUCCUGCUUCAUGGUGGGGGUUGGAUAGUUUCGGUGGUUGGGGAUGGACUCGCGGCGUAUCAGCUUGUUGGUGGGGUAGUGGCUUACCAUGGCUUUGACGGGUAGCCGGCCUGAGAGGGUGACCGGCCACAUUGGGACGGGAAUACGGCACAGACUCGUACGGGAGGCAGCAGAGGGGAAUAUUGCACAAUGGGCGGAGGCCUGAUGCAGCAACGCCGCGUGCGGGAUGAGGGCAUUCGGGUUGUAAACCGCUUUCGCCUGUGACGAAGCGUGAGUGACGGUAAUGGGUAAAGAAGCACCGGCUAACUACGUG